GGCAGCACCGCAUACAGGAAGGCCUCACUCGGUUGCCGGCCUUCCAGGUCGUCUUCGCGCUACCACAGAGAAGACGGUGCGCGCCGGCUAGAGAGGCCCAGCGCCACCAUCAAGAGAGGCCCGAGAGAAGCCUAGAGUGGAACCCCGCCUGGUCGCCUCCGGGAGUGAAAGGGACUCAGUGGCCGGAGUUGGUAAAUGACUCAACGCGAGGCAAUAGUUGCUUCAGACGCUGACUGGAUUUUGCAACAUGGGACUCAGAGAAGUUUGAAAACUAUCAACUGCUUUGUUUUUGCCAUUUGAUAGAGGAAAAUCAAUAACAACAACCAUGUGAGUUAUACUGAAACAGGAGAGAAGCAGAGAUGACUGUGAAGGGAAUGCAUCCUCCCUGCAUCUCCCAGAAAAUACAUUCUGCUUUUACCUGUAGUGGGUGUGCAGCCAUUUUGUUGUUCUAUUUUUGUGAGACUUCCCAGUAUCCUUAUAAUAAAAUUUUCUUUUCUUUCAAA
This is a long non-coding RNA of Marmota monax (woodchuck), 503 nucleotides long. RefSeq lists it as uncharacterized. The transcript has 2 exons. The record is from RefSeq and is a predicted model, not a curated record. NCBI's taxonomy places the organism in Eukaryota, Metazoa, Chordata, Mammalia, Rodentia, Sciuridae.